This is a long non-coding RNA of Drosophila elegans, 972 nucleotides long. RefSeq lists it as uncharacterized. Lineage: Eukaryota; Metazoa; Arthropoda; Insecta; Diptera; Drosophilidae. The transcript is spliced from 2 exons. The record is from RefSeq and is a predicted model, not a curated record.
GGAUUUUCGGUUGGAUUUUUGGGUGGUUGGCAAAGCAAAAGGUCGCACGCAGUUCAAAUAAAAAUAAAAAGUUAAGAGGUAUAAGAGAAAAGUUGGAAAGAAGCUUUAGAUAUAUAGAUCUCAUAUAAUUUGGAAUUUUAUGCAAGGAAGCCAAUCGAAAUAAUAAUAGAUUGUUUUGCAUUAUUGUUGUUGGAUUGGGAGAGGAAAGGAUUUGGUGCCGGGCAACAAAAGUCGAUUUGGUGUUGCUGCAAUGAAGUGAUCAAGUUGCGAUUGGAAAGUGAACUGUGAUCGAUCGGUGGCAAACAAUCAGGUUGAAAUGAAUUUGUGGCGUAGUUUUGGCUUUGAAUGCAAUCAAAGGUUUUAACUGCCAAUAAGGUGUUUGGAAUGUUUUCAAUCAUGUUAGAAAAUAAAUUUUUACAAAAUAUGUUGCAUGAUUAAUGGUACUGUUAUUUUUUAAAACAUACUGAAGACUAUCCUUUUAAAAUUCAAACGUUUCCUCAGAUCUCACAUAUAAAUAUGUUGUUUUAAAAACUGUGUUGCUCUAACUUGUUCCACGUUCAGCUUACGAUUUACAGAAUUGAACAAACAAAACCAACUCUAUGCAUCAAAUAGAAAAAAGAAAAUGGAACAACAACCAGCAAGAGGAGCUGAGUCAAUUUUCACUUCAUUUGCCAGCACAAAAGCAACAGGGAAAAUUAUGAUGCAACAUUUGCGGCAUCGUGUCGAUGCGCUCCAAUUCGCAGCAUAAACAACAUCCAACUGCCGAGGAUGCAACAUGGAUUUCUGCUGCAGCAGCAGAUGAUGGAUGUGGCAUGCCACAUGCUAUUGCUGCGUUGAAAAUGAAAUGUACAAAAACUGAAAUGGGGGGAGGAAGUGCAGAAAUUUGUCAAUUACGCUGGGGCAAAUUAAUCUCCUUAAAUAGGCCAAAAACGAACAUUUCCUUUUGAUUUUGUUUGAUCUGUGACAGUGUGU